GUUACCAGAAUUUAAUCCCAGUAGAUAUAAAUUCUUAUACUAAUACCAGCCUAUUCAGACAUAUUUAAUAUACAGCACUAUCUGCUCCAGGAGCAAGAACUGACUCCAAAUUUCUUAUGUGCUUCAUUAAGUCAGAGGAGUCUUUACUGGGAGAUGAAGAUGAUGACUGAGAUGCAGCCACCAGAACAGCUGUCCCAGUGUUGGUGGUUGGCAUCGGAAGUUCCCUCUCCUCAUUACCAGGACGUCGGUUCCACCCAGGAUCACUCAUAGGUCUCCGAACUGAUGACACUAUAUCUGAACUCCUGCUGCGGACUAGCCUUUCUGGGUCUGGGGCCUCUACAAAGGCAGACAAUGCAGAGAAGAGAGAAAAAGCAUCAUUACUCAUUGCCAGGCUCCCUUAAAA
Long non-coding RNA from Oxyura jamaicensis (ruddy duck), 403 nucleotides. RefSeq lists it as uncharacterized. NCBI's taxonomy places the organism in Eukaryota, Metazoa, Chordata, Aves, Anseriformes, Anatidae. The transcript is spliced from 3 exons. The record is from RefSeq and is a predicted model, not a curated record.